RNAcentral lists this ribosomal RNA (253 nucleotides) under uncultured bacterium. RNAcentral's name for it is "partial 16S ribosomal RNA". It matches the Rfam family "Bacterial small subunit ribosomal RNA", at positions 524 to 776 of the family's 1533-position model. The record is from RNAcentral.
UACAGAGGUGGCAAGCGUUGUUCGGAAUUACUGGGCGUAAAGGGCUCGUAGGCGGCCUUCUAAGUCAGACGUGAAAUCCCCAGGCUUAACUUGGGAACUGCGUCUGAUACUGGGAGGCUUGAGUGCGGGAGAGGGAUGUGGAAUUCCAGGUGUAGCGGUGAAAUGCGUAGAUAUCUGGAGGAACACCGGUGGCGAAGGCGGCAUCCUGGACCGACACUGACGCUGAGGCGCGAAAGCUAGGGGAGCAAACGGG